Molecule: long non-coding RNA, 2366 nt
Organism: Heterocephalus glaber (naked mole-rat)
Lineage: Eukaryota; Metazoa; Chordata; Mammalia; Rodentia; Bathyergidae
Source: Ensembl
CAGCUCUGCUCUUUGUCUGAGCAGAAGAGAUAAGAACCAAGCGGCUAGCUGACCUCACCGGCUUCCUGCGGGGUGGGCGUGCACGCUCACUUCCACCCCCCCUGCCGGAGCAAGCAGGGGUCCAGCUGGUGGUGGGCUCCCCUCCUCCGGAGAUGCCCACGUGGUGUCUGUCCCCAGGGAGCACAGGGCCACUCUAGGCUCCCCCGCAGCACUGCGACAGGAGGCUGUUACUGUGGCUGACCACUGCUUUCACAUAGUCGCGAGGUCCUGGCUGACCUGUUACUCUCCAAAACCAGCACUGUUCUCAGAAAGUAGAGACAGCUCCAAUGUAGAGUGGCCACUGGCUACCUACCUCUUUGGCUCCCUUGAAAAUCACGGAAAUCAAAUCAAACAGAAAAGAGUGUCCAUUCACCAGAAGGACUUGGGUAAAUGAUGCACCAUUGUUUGCUUUUUAUACAGAAAUAAUACGGAAAGAGGUCACUGGAUGAAUCUGUAAAUUGAAACAAGGACACGCUUCCUUUCAAUUUGUUAAAGCCCCUGCAUAUCUGAUAGUUCAAACUGAAGUAAUACAGAUCAUUAAUGAUGGAUUUUCCUCCUAUCUAAAUAGAAAAGGUAUUAUAUGUUAUAUCAAUGCUCAAGUUAAAUCUUUCCCUUAUAAGGUGCUUGACAUAAAUAGCUUUUAUUAUGGAACUCUUAAGUAGAGGGGACACACACAUUUCUUAAAGGUCCCAGCUGCUAUUGUUAUCCUUGGAGACAUAAAAUUGGAGUCCCCAACUUCCAAUAUCAAAUUUUAGCCCAAACCCUAUAAAACGUGUCUUGUCAGGAUGUGCCGGAAGGGAUAAGCUCCCCUCCACACAACAUGCCGCAGCUGGUGCUCUGUCCUGACCGGCAGGGUGUCCACACGCGGCGUAGGCAGAGUCCUUCCCGCUUCCCCUCUUCCUGCGGAGCUGGAGGGAAGGAGCGGCCGGCCGUGGCCUAGGCCACUGGACAGGGAACACGGCCUGCGGGCCGAGUCCAAGGCCUGCAGAUAGGACCCUCCGUCAGGAAUGCAAAGAAUGUUUUCCCUCGGACGAUGGAGGCGCACAGGCCAGGGGGAUUCUGUCUGCGUGACAGCCGUGACAUUUGCCAGAGCCCCGGACGGCUGUGGAAAUGGCAUUGCCCACCCUGAAAGUGAGAAGUGACAGAAGCAGCUGGAGAGAAGAUACCAGUAUAAAACCCGCCCAGACUCGUUUCUGUGGAGCCGGGAUGGGAACCGCGGCAUAGAGCCCUAUACACUCUUUCUGCACACAUUAACCUGUGCCAGCCCCCCGCCCCCGGCUGGGGUUUCAGGGACCCCAGUGAGGAGAGUCCAGUGACCCAGACAGUCACAGUAUCACCUGUGCUGAGCCUCGAGCGAAAACGAUGCAGGCAGACAGACGAGACGAUGGGCCUUGUAAACACCGGAGCUUUGCGGGCCCUUCUGCCGUCCAGCUUGGUGUGGACCAGAGCCGCAUGGAGCCCAGUCAGCCCCCGCCUCUGGCACUGGCCGGCACGGGGAAAGUAACCCAGAAAAAACAUUCUUCAGCCCGAAAUGAAGCAGGAUCGAAUGGACGCUGAUGACUCAGCACCCAGACCCGGCAGAGAACACCCCCCCCACAGGCUCACUCUGACGCAGGGCCCGAAGCCAGUGGCUCUCCCCGGGGGACCUGCCUGGGAGCUGUGUCCCUCUCUCCCGCACGCAGGCACACACACGGAUUACAAGAUGUGAGCUUCCCAGCCAGGAUGCUUCUGAGUAGUAGGCUGACUGGCCCCUUCCGGAUGGGCCACCCCACAGCCCCAAGGCUUGGUGGCCCAAGGCUGAGCCCAGGGAGCAGCCACACUGACCUCUGUGCAGUGCCCUUUAGGGGCCAGGUGUGGCCCAGGUGUACCUGCAACUCCAUGGGGUGGCCCCAUCCUGGCAGAGAGCUCUUAGCCCUGUGAGUGCCGCCCAGGGCACAGGUUCCCUCAGGAAAGACGGGAGGAGGAUGCCUGGGGCACAGCACCAGGCACGGAGCUCCCGUGCUUGGCCCCCUGGUCCCUCUGCCUGGCAGGUGAGUCUGCCCAUCCACAUCCACGGGAGCCAGAACUCUCGUGAGGUGCUCGUUGGGCAGGAGGCCUCUGCACUGACCAUGCUGCAGACAGAUGCUUUCGAAGCUGGUGGGAGCUGCAGCUGGGGGCCCAGAGCUGCUGCAAUCAAUCAGCAGCCACCGAGGAGCCUUCGAGCCACUCCCUGCCCUGGCUGCGCAACCUUACACCUCUGGCAUCAAAGGAUGGGCUGAGGCCGGAAGGAGGCUGUAUCUGUGUAUCUGCAGGACCAGGGAGCAGCCUGCCUGGGACUCAGGGUGGGG